Picea glauca (white spruce) is the source of this 112-nucleotide non-coding RNA. The record is from Rfam. NCBI's taxonomy places the organism in Eukaryota, Viridiplantae, Streptophyta, Pinopsida, Pinales, Pinaceae.
AGCCAUGUGGUCGACAUGGAGCGAACUAUUCUUUCACUUUUUCAUAGAAUGUCGUGUGUUGGCCAUUCACAACGGCAUACACCAAUUUUUGUAGCUUUCAUCUUUUAAAAAU